AGAAUCAACGCUGGCGGCGUGCCUAACACAUGCAAGUCGAACGAGAAAGUGGAGCAAUCCAUGAGUAAAGUGGCGCACGGGUGAGUAACACGUGACUAACCUACCCUUGAGUGGGGAAUAACCUCGGGAAACCGGGGCUAAUACCGCAUAACACCUACGGGUCAAAGGAGCAAUUCGCUUAAGGAGGGGGUCGCGGCAGAUUAGUUAGUUGGCGGGGUAAUGGCCCACCAAGACGGUGAUCUGUAU
Molecule: ribosomal RNA, 246 nt
Filed under: uncultured bacterium
Lineage: Bacteria
Description: partial small subunit ribosomal RNA
Rfam family: Bacterial small subunit ribosomal RNA
Source: RNAcentral